CUGUAAGUGCAAAUCUCUUGCAGUCCAAUUUUAAAAUCUACAUCAGUCUAACCAAAGUCAGUCCUUAAUCUACAAUGAUGGUCUGAGGUUUUUUGUCAGAAUAACAUGAGAAGUGACCUGCCCAGCAAAGCAGACUUAAAUUGCAGUGUUAUAUAGUUGCUGUGAAAACGGAUUUCCUACCUCUUAAAUAACAAUAUAAAUGCUUGGUCAGUGUCUGAGCUAUAUUGAUUGGGUAAAAUGCAUUUUUGUUUGAGCAAAUUAAAAUUUAUAUGGCCC
Non-coding RNA from Pelobates cultripes (western spadefoot toad), 276 nucleotides. The record is from the annotation of a GenBank genome assembly. Lineage: Eukaryota; Metazoa; Chordata; Amphibia; Anura; Pelobatidae.